UACGAAGGUCCCAAGCGUUAUCCGGAUUUAUAGGGUUUAAAGGGUGCGUAGGCGGGUUAUUAAGUCAGUGGUGAAAGCCUACAGCUUAACUGUAGAACUGCCAUUGAUACUGAUGAUCUUGAGUAUGAUUGAGGUGGGCGGAAUGUGUCAUGUAGCGGUGAAAUGCUUAGAUAUGACACAGAACACCGAUUGCGAAGGCAGCUCACUAAGUCAUAACUGACGCUGAUGCACGAAAGCGUGGGGAGCAAACAGG
RNAcentral lists this ribosomal RNA (253 nucleotides) under uncultured bacterium. RNAcentral's name for it is "partial 16S ribosomal RNA". It matches the Rfam family "Bacterial small subunit ribosomal RNA", at positions 524 to 776 of the family's 1533-position model. The record is from RNAcentral.